This 4448-nucleotide long non-coding RNA is filed under the name Homo sapiens (human). RNAcentral's name for it is "HSALNT0099159". The record is from RNAcentral. Lineage: Eukaryota; Metazoa; Chordata; Mammalia; Primates; Hominidae.
AUCUCUUUCUUUUCUCCACAGACUGGCCCACCUGGCUUCUAACCUUAUAGGCUGUUUUGGUAUUUUUCUCUUGGUUAUUCUAGCACUGAGGCCAAAAUAACUAUGAGAGGGAUUUAGUUUAUAGUUAAACUUGGAGGCAAGGGAAACGAACCCCCUCCACCCCAUCCAGAGAUUCGGGCUGCAUUCACAUGACAAGAGUCUUGCUCAGUCGCCAGGCUGUAGUGCAGUGGCACGAUCUCAGCUCACUGCAGCCGCCACCUCCCAGGUUCAAGCGAUUCUCCUGCCUCAGCCUCCCGAGUAGCUGAGACUACAGAGCACCAUGGCCUGGCAAGGUCCGACGUUUUCCAAGGAUCCUGGCUGAGCUCCUGUGGAAGCUGCUUCUUACACUGAUGUGGUCCCUCGGCUGGCAGGCCCUUCUGCGGCCAACCAGGUGACACCUGCCAGUUAUGAGGGACAGGUAGGAGAGGAUGGGCUUUCCAUCAGAAAAAAAAAAAAAAAGGUUUUCCAAACUGCUUUUCUUUCAAAUUUUAAUCUUAAGACUAACCUACAUUAAUUUCUUAUUUUUAUCUCAUAAAGUCCAGAAUUUCUGAUAAUUUCAGUUCUUUUCCAGAGUGCAAAGAAGCAUUGGCUCUUCAGGUAUUAUGUUUAACAUUUUGCAGGAAUUGCUUUACUCUAUAGACAAAUAAACUACACAUUUAAGACUUAUUUCCUCUGUCAGUAAAUGUGAACGCUUUGACUAAUUUCUCAAGUGUGUUGUUUUGACAGUGAGGCAGAUAGCCUGCUGUUUUGGGUCAAACCUACGUAAAUGUACAUGACCCCAGCAAGAGAUUCUAGACUCAGCAGAGGAAUUCACAGCAAGAGUUGAUGUAGAAGUUGACAACCAAGGCCAGGCGCGGUGGCUCACGCCUGUAAUCCCAGCACUUUGGGAGGCCGAGGUGGGUGGAUCACGAGGUCAGGAGAUGGAGACCAUCCUGGCUAACAUGGUGAAACCCCGUCUCUACUGAAAAUACAAAAAUUAGCCGGGCGUGGUGGCGGCGCCUGUAGUCCCAGCUACUCAGGAGGCUGAGGCAGGAGAAUGGCGUGAACCUGGGAGGCAGAGCUUGCAGUGAGCAGAGAUGGCGCCACUGCACUCCAGCCUGGGCGACAGAGCAAGACUCAGUCUCAAAAACAAAAAAACAAAAAACAACAACAAAAAAACAAAAAAACCCAUAAUAGUAGUGAUAAGGCCGGUGCGGUGGCUCAUGCCUGUAAUCCCAGCACUUUGGGAGGCCAAGGCGGGCGGAUCACGAGGUCAGGAGUUUGAGACCAGCCUGGCCAACACGGUGAAACCCCGUCUCUACUAAAAAUACAAAAAUUAGCUGGACGUGGUGGCGGGCGCCUGUAAUCUUCUCAGACACCCAACCACCGGCUCCUCAGCCGGGGCAACUCCCUGUAAGAUGACGGCACCUUUUCACGGCCCCCCACCCUGCCCCAAAUCCCCGAUCCAGCUCCAAAUCCCCGAUCCAAACCCCAACCCGCGAUCCCAAAUCUGCGAUCUAGCCCAGAAUCCGCGAUCCAGCCGGGUCCACCACAGCCUUCAGCAGCGACACUCCCAGCCUCCGACCUCUCAGACCCAGUGAGCCUCGCAAGGCCAUUAGCAGCGCGCCUGCACCGCGGGGGCCGCCGGGCUCCCAGAACCCGCCCGGCCUCAGGAGCAGGGCCUGUCUGGCCGUGCGGCCCCACUUAAUCUUAAUAGCAAAUAAAACUCAGCAGUAUGCUGUGGUAUAUUCUAUAAUGAUUCUACACAAUUGUAGAUUGCAUUAGAAUAAUGUUUUUUAAAAUUAUUUUCUUGGUAACAAAUGGACACUUGAAAUUUUAUUUUAAUUUUAAUUUUUUUUUAAACAGAGUUUCACUCUUGUUGCCCAGGCUGGAGUGCAAUGGCGCGAUCUCGGCUCACUGCAACCUCUGCCUCCCAGGUACAAGUGAUUCUCCUGUCUCAGCCUCCCGAGUAGCUCGGAUUACAGGCACGGGCCACCACACCCGGCUUUUUUUUUUUUUUUUUUUUUUGGUAUUUAGUAGAGACGGGGUUUCAUCAUGUUAGGCUGGUCGCAAACUCCUGACCUCAGGUGAUCCACCUGCCUUGGCCUCCCAAAAUGCUGGGAUUACAGGAGUAAGCCACUGCGCCUGGGCAAAAUUUUAUUUUUUAAUAAUGCCAAGUGAUUUCAUUUUAAAUUAAACCGCAGCAUAAAUUGGAUUAUUUUCCUGCAUGAGUACCUUGCUCUUCAAACAAAAACAUUUUUUAAAGACCAAAUAUAUUGCAUACUUUUUUUUAAAAAAGCUCUGGCUGUGUGCAUUGGCUUACGCCUGUAAUCCCAACACUUUGGGGAGGCUGAGGGAGGAGGACUGUUUGAACCAGGAGUUUGAGACCGGCCUGGGCAACACAGUGAGACACUGGCUCUACAAUAAUCUUUCUUUAAAAGUUAGCCAGGUAUGGUGGUGCACAGCCAUGGUCCCAGACACUUGGGAGGUUGAGGUGGGAGGAUAGCUUGAGCCUGGGAGGUUGAGGCUGCAGUGAGCUAUGAUUGCACUCCAGCCUGGGUGACAGAGCAAGAACCUGUCUCAAAAACAUGUUCUUUUUUUUUUAAAAAUUUAUUUAUUUAUUUUUUAUUAUUAUUAUACUUUAAGUUUUAGGGUACAUGUGCACAAUGUGCCAGUUAGUUACAUAUGUAUACAUGUGCCAUGCUGAUGUGCUGCACCCAUUAACUCAUCAUUUAGCAUUAGGUAUAUCUCCUAAUGCUAUCCUUCCCCUCUCCCCCCAAAACACCCCCCAAAACAUGUUCUUACUGUAUAAGAAAUUAUGAAUGACAUUUAUUUUAUGUUAAAACAGUAUAUUUUAUCUACAAAAGGAGUAAAAGACAGUAAUACAAAAAAUUGGCACAUAAAGGAACAAAAAUGCUAAAAAAUUAAAAUUUACCAAUAAUCCUAUCACCUAAAUUGAUAAUUUUUAAUAUAAUUAAAUGUAGGAUUUUAAAAUAAAUUUCUUUUAAUUUAUUUAUUUAAACAUAUAGAUUAUUUUUAGACCCUCUUCAGGCAUCCCCUGUUGAAUAAGUUCCAUGAUUUACAGGCCUACUCUCUCUAUUAUUAAAUAUUUUAUUGCUUUCAAUGAACAACAUUUUUUGUAAACAUUUUCACAGAAACAAAUAUGGGCACAUUGAGACAUGUUUUCUUUUCAAAAAGUCCUAGCACUUUAAUUACUGUGUAAAGAGAUAUUAGUGUACAAUUUUCACACAUAUUGACUAACGUCCCUGCAAAAUGUUGAAUCAAUUUAUACUUGCAGCACCAAUCGGCAAAUUAAUGUCCAUUAUGCUUUCGCUUCACCAAAACUGAUACUUAUAUUUUAUUUUGCUAGACAAAAAUACAUAUUAUCUUAAUUUGCAUAACUGUAAUUAAUAGAAAGAUUAAAUUUUUUUUCAGAUGUAUCAUAGGACAUCAUUUUUUCUUGAGUCUGGUGGGUGCUUAGUUCCUUUAAAGCAUUAAUCUUGUAUACAUUAAUUUUAUGUGCAAAACAAUCAUUAAGUACAAUUUGAAAUAUGGAAAAAUAAAUAGCUGGAUUAAGAAAAAAACAAAUAGAGCUUCUGGAAUUAAAACAUUCACUAAUGGAAUUUCAAAACACAGUUGGAAUCUUUAACAAUAAACUAGACCAAGCAGAAGAAAUAAUUUUAGACUUUGAAACUGGUCUUUCAAAGUAACCCAGUCAGACAAAAAUAAAAGAAAAAAGAACUGAAAAACAAAGCCCUUAAGAAAUAUGGGAUUAUGUAAAGUGACCAAACUUAUAACUUAUUGGCAUUCCUACAACAGAAGAAUAAAAAGUAACCAACUAAGAAAGUAUAUUUAAGGGAAUAAUUUAGGAAAAGUUCUCUAGUCUUGCUAGAAAGGUUGACAUUCAGAUAUAAGAAAUUCAGAGAACACCUGUGGGAUAGUAAACAAGAUGCCCAUUCCUAAGGCAUCCACAGUCAUUAGAAUAGCUGUGGUCAAUGCAAAAGAAAAUAUAUUAAAGGCAGCUCAAACAAAGGGCCAAAUUACCUAUAAAGUAAAUUAGAUUAACAACAGACUUAGCAGCAGAUACCCUGCAACCUAGAAAAGAUUGGGGCCUAGCGUUAGCCUUCUCAAAGAAAAAAAAAAAUGCCAUCCAAUAAUUUCUUUUUUUUGGAGACAGAGUCUCACUUUGCCACCCAGGCUGGAGUGCCGUGGUGUGAUCUCAGCUCACUGCAACCUCUGCUUCCUGGGUUCAAGCAAUUCUCCUGCCUCAGCCUCCCCAGUAGCUGGGAUUACAGGUGCCCGCCACCACACCUGGCAAAUUUUGGUAUUUUUAAUAGAGAUGGAGUUUCUUCAUGUUGGCCAGGCUGGUCUUGAACUCCUGACCUCAGCUGAUCUGCCUGCCUCGGCCUCCCAAAGUGCUAGGAUUACAG